RNAcentral lists this ribosomal RNA (828 nucleotides) under uncultured Gammaproteobacteria bacterium. RNAcentral describes it as "bacterial SSU rRNA". It matches the Rfam family "Bacterial small subunit ribosomal RNA", at positions 67 to 884 of the family's 1533-position model. Lineage: Bacteria; Pseudomonadati; Pseudomonadota; Gammaproteobacteria. The record is from RNAcentral.
CGGUGCACCAGAAGCUUGCUCUCUAGCUGACGAGCGGCGGACGGGUGAGUAAUGUCUGGGAAACUGCCUGAUGGAGGGGGAUAACUACUGGAAACGGUAGCUAAUACCGCAUAAACGUCUUCGGACACAAAGUGGGGGACCUUCGGGCCUCAUGCCAUCAGAUGUGCCCAGAUGGGAUUAGCUAGUAGGUGGGGUAAUGGCUCACCUAGGCGACGAUCCCUAGCUGGUCUGAGAGGAUGACCAGCCACACUGGAACUGAGACACGGUCCAUACUCCUACGGGAGGCAGCAGUGGGGAAUAUUGCACAGUGGGCGCAAGCCUGAUGCAGCCAUGCCGCGUGUGUGAAGAAGGCCUUCGGGUUGUAAAGCACUUUCAGCGAGGAGGAAGGGAAUCGUGUUAAUACCUUUGUUCAUUGACGUUACUCGCACAAUAAGCACCGGCUAACUCCGUGCCAGCAGCCGCGGUAAUACGGAGGGUGCAAGCGUUAAUCGGAAUUACUGGGCGUAAAGCGCACGCAGGCGGUUUGUUAAGUCAGAUGUGAAAUCCCCGCGCUUAACGUGGGAACUGCAUUUGAAACUGGCAAGCUUGAGUCUUGUACAGGGGGGUAGAAUUCCACGUGUAGCGGUGAAAUGCGUAGAGAUCUGGAGGAAUACCGGUGGCGAAGGCGGCCCCCUGGACGAAGACUGACGCUCAGGUGCUAAAGCGUGGGGAGCAAACAGGAUUAUAUACCCUGGUAGUCCACGCUGUAUACGAUGUCCACUUGGAGGUUGUGCCCUUGAGACGUGACUUCCGGAGCUAACGCGUUAAGUCGACCGCCUGGGGAGUACG